AGGUCAUCUCUGCCCGGCAGGCUGGGCGCCGGGAGCUGCCCUCGGCCUCUCCCCACGCUGCAGCCUGGACAGAGCCCUGCAGGAUGGCCUUUCUUCUUCAGCCCCUCCUGCUCCUGGGUGGCAAGUUUCCUGUAGGACCUGAGUGAGAUAUCACCAGGCCGCCUGUCUCCAGAGUCCAGGAAUCUCACCUCCCCACCUGGGUUGUGAGGUCUUCUGGGGCAAGGAUGGCGCCUGCUCUUCCUUGGGCCCACUCUCCCAGCCCGGUCAGCCGGAGGACCGGACACCUAAGAGCUGCUUGCCUCUCCUUGAACUCUGAAAGCAGUUGGCGAUCAGAAAGGAGGAAGCUUGGGGCCCGCUCUGGGCAUCCUCAUGUAUUCUCCACGGCGCUCUUGCAGACCAGGCAGACACCGUCCGUCUCUCGGGAACAUCCUCCAUCCUCCCAUCUCAUCUGAGCUGCCUUCUGUGUUUAGGCCCGUCUCUCAGCUGCUCUCAAGAAACUCUCUUGACCCACAGGUUCCCGAGACAGCUUGUUAUACCCUGACCAAUGCCAUCUGUGCCUAAGAACUUGUCUUCCUAAGGAGACCUAAAUCCCUAGAAGACAGGGUCUUGCCCUGGAACUCACUGCCCUGAAAAAGAGCCUUGUUUGUCUAGACGCUUGGAAAAUGCAUGCUCUUUCUAAAACCAAGUUACCUCGAGCAUGGCUAUGAACUCAUCAGUAAAUGUAUGAGAAAUGUCUUUAUAAGACCGCCACCUGGAAGGAGGAUAUGUGCUUUGCUUUAUGAGAAACCCUGGAAAAGGGAGAAAGGAUUUGUCCUUACAGAGUUCAACUUGACUUGGAGCCGGUGCCUUUGGUUCUUGAUGGUUCUUGGAUUGGGCCAGGCCCCUCAGCUCCAAGUGGGGUGUCUCACACUUUGAUUCUGGUCAAGCUGGCCCCUGGCUUGGCUGGAGUUACUGCCUGCUGCCAGUUUCUGGGGAGGCAUUUGGAGACCCCAGGGAUCUUCCUUGCCUUCUGCCAUCUGUGGCCACUGGGCGGGGUCUGAGCGUCUGAGAAGGGACAGGUGGCCUGGCUGGCACAUCAGCUAGACAUCUCCUGGGGCUGGUCAGUACCAUCUUUAAACCAGCUGGCAGAGACUCCAGAGGGGUUUCUCUCCCUGUCAUGCAUUUAUAGCACCACAGGAAAAGCCAAGGCUGGGUCUUGCCAUAGAUACAACCCUGGGCAGUUUUUCUCUCUGUUCCAAACUGUAGCUGCAGCCCCUGCUUCGAGCCUAGGAGGCAGAAGCUGCUGAACUUGUCUUCUCUUGAAUGCCAAACUAUAUGCUUUGCACAGGGCUCGGCACAGAGUAGGCAGCCAGGAAAUAUUUACCGAAUGGCCAAUAGAAUGUUCACCUUCCCUUAGGGGAGGCCCAAUGCCAUUGAGAGAGUAAGGAUUGAACUCCAGGAACAGAAUACAGAAGAAGGCAUGAGCCAGCCUCACUUGCGUCUGCGCAAUCUUCCCAGAUUUCACUUUUCCUUUCCGGGUUCCCAGGAUUUCUCCAGGAACUCUAAUGUUAGGGCAAGGGUGUGAUCCACUUUUCCUAACCCUUUAAACCUGUGCUACUUCAAGCAUAAUCCAUGGACCAGCAGCAUCAGCCUCAUCUGGGAACUUGUUGGAAAUGCAGACUCUCAGGCCCCACCCCAGACCUAAUGAAUCAGCUUCUGCCCUUGAAGAAGAUCAGGUGAUUUAUGUGCCUGUUACAGUUGGAGAAGUACUGCCUUAAGCAGCUAGCGUGUGAACAUAGGACUUGUCACCUGGCCCAGAGGUCAGCCGCUAGCGUGUGGCUAACUACAGUUGGGCUUCUGCCUACCUUGAUGACUCAGACACCUUAUUGAGUCAGAUAUUUUCUGUCUCUCCAGUCCUUGAAUACUGUCCAGAACAUAGUAGGCACUCAAUAAAUAGUCGAUGAAUAAAUGCUAAAUUAUUCUUAUGCUGUUUUCUCCAUUCAGGGUGCUUAUAGUGUGCUGGACCUCUGCUUCUGGACAUAAAUUGCAAGUUAUUAAAAAGGUUUUUUUUGGUUUUUGUUU
Molecule: long non-coding RNA, 2061 nt
Filed under: Sus scrofa (pig)
Lineage: Eukaryota; Metazoa; Chordata; Mammalia; Artiodactyla; Suidae
Description: lncRNA (ENSSSCG00025048268.1)
Source: RNAcentral